GAUGAACGCUGGCGGCGUGCCUAAUACAUGCAAGUCGAGCGAACAGACGAGGAGCUUGCUCCUCUGACGUUAGCGGCGGACGGGUGAGUAACACGUGGAUAACCUACCUAUAAGACUGGGAUAACUUCGGGAAACCGGAGCUAAUACCGGAUAACAUGUUGAACCGCAUGGUUUAACAGUGAAAGACGGUCUUGCUGUCACUUAUAGAUGGAUCCGCGCCGCAUUAGCUAGUCGGUAAGGUAACGGCUUACCAAGGCAACGAUGCGUAGCCGACCUGAGAGGGUGAUCGGCCACACUGGAACUGAGACACGGUCCAGACUCCUACGGGAGGCAGCAGUAGGGAAUCUUCCGCAAUGGGCGAAAGCCUGACGGAGCAACGCCGCGUGAGUGAAGAAGGUCUUCGGAUCGUAAAACUCUGUUAUUAGGGAAGAACAAAUGUGUAAGUAACUAUGCACGUCUUGACGGUACCUAAUCAGAAAGCCACGGCUAACUACGUG
Molecule: ribosomal RNA, 497 nt
Filed under: uncultured bacterium
Lineage: Bacteria
Description: partial 16S ribosomal RNA
Rfam family: Bacterial small subunit ribosomal RNA
Source: RNAcentral